Molecule: ribosomal RNA, 253 nt
Filed under: uncultured bacterium
Lineage: Bacteria
Description: partial 16S ribosomal RNA
Rfam family: Bacterial small subunit ribosomal RNA
Source: RNAcentral
UACGUAGAUGGCAAGCGUUAUCCGGAUUUAUUGGGUGUAAAGGGCGUGUAGGCGGGAGCGCAAGUCAGAUGUGAAAACUCAGGGCUCAACCCUGAGCCUGCAUUUGAAACUGUUUUUCUUGAGUGCUGGAGAGGCAAUCGGAAUUCCGUGUGUAGCGGUGAAAUGCGUAGAUAUACGGAGGAACACCAGUGGCGAAGGCGGAUUGCUGGACAGUAACUGACGCUGAGGCGCGAAAGCGUGGGGAGCAAACAGG